CUCACCAUAGUUUAUCCUAAAACACUGACUUGCAAAAUCGAAAAAGGAAUUAGAUUCCUGGUGUGU
Molecule: transfer RNA, 66 nt
Filed under: Bathytoma punicea
Lineage: Eukaryota; Metazoa; Mollusca; Gastropoda; Neogastropoda; Conidae
Description: tRNA-Cys
Source: RNAcentral